CUUUGAUACUGGGUGUCUUGAGUAUGGUAGAGGUUGGUGGAACUGCGAGUGUAGAGGUGAAAUUCGUAGAUAUUCGGAAGAACACCAGUGGCGAAGGCGACACACUGGCCCGUUACUGACGCUGAGGCGCGAAAGCGUGGGGAGCAAACAG
Molecule: ribosomal RNA, 151 nt
Filed under: uncultured bacterium
Lineage: Bacteria
Description: partial 16S ribosomal RNA
Rfam family: Bacterial small subunit ribosomal RNA
Source: RNAcentral